RNAcentral lists this ribosomal RNA (467 nucleotides) under uncultured bacterium. RNAcentral's name for it is "partial 16S ribosomal RNA". The record is from RNAcentral.
CACGUAGUUAGCCGCAGCUUCUUCUUCAGGUACCGUCAUUAUCGUCCCUGCCGAAAGAGCUUUACACCCCGAGGGGCUUCAUCGCUCACGCGGCGUCGCUGCAUCAGAGUUGCCUCCAUUGUGCAAGAUUCCCCACUGCUGCCUCCCGUAGGAGUCUGGCCCGUGUUUCAGUGCCAGUGUGGCCGUGUGCCCUCUCAGGCCGGCUACCGAUCACCGCCUUGGUGAGCCGUUACCUCACCAACUAGCUAAUCGGCCGCGGGCUCCUCUUUCAGCGCAUUGCUGCUUUCCCUUCACAGGAUUAUGCGGUAUUAGCCCCGGUUUCCCAGGGUUAUUCCCCACUAAAAGGCAGAUUACCCACGUGUUACUCAUCCGUACGCCGCUGUACUCAGGGAUUGCUCCCCUUUCUCGCUCGACUUGCAUGUGUUAAGCGCGCCGCCAGCGUUGAUUCUGAGCCAGGAUCAAACUCU